GACGAACGCUGGCGGCGUGCUUAACACAUGCAAGUCGAACGGAAAGGCCCUGCUUUUGUGGGGUGCUCGAGUGGCGAACGGGUGAGUAACACGUGAGUAACCUGCCCUUGACUUUGGGAUAACUUCAGGAAACUGGGGCUAAUACCGGAUAGGAGCUCCUGCUGCAUGGUGGGGGUUGGAAAGUUUCGGCGGUUGGGGAUGGACUCGCGGCUUAUCAGCUUGUUGGUGGGGUAGUGGCUUACCAAGGCUUUGACGGGUAGCCGGCCUGAGAGGGUGACCGGCAUAGUUGGGCAGAAGGUCGGGCCCAGCCGCCAGGGGGAGGCAGAGGUGGAAAAUAUGGCACAAGGGGGGGAAGCCUGAGCCGACCGCGCCGGGUGGGGGAGGGCGGCUUGCGGUUUAAAACCCUCUUCCGCCUGUAAAGAGGGGGGAGUGACGGAAGGGGGAAAAAAAGCCCCGACUAACUACGUG
RNAcentral lists this ribosomal RNA (468 nucleotides) under uncultured bacterium. Its description in RNAcentral is "partial 16S ribosomal RNA". It matches the Rfam family "Bacterial small subunit ribosomal RNA", at positions 28 to 507 of the family's 1533-position model. The record is from RNAcentral.